RNAcentral lists this ribosomal RNA (253 nucleotides) under uncultured bacterium. RNAcentral describes it as "partial 16S ribosomal RNA". It matches the Rfam family "Bacterial small subunit ribosomal RNA", at positions 524 to 776 of the family's 1533-position model. The record is from RNAcentral.
UACGAAGGGGACUAGCGUUGUUCGGAAUUACUGGGCGUAAAGGGCUCGUAGGCGGCCAACUAAGUCGGAUGUGAAAUCCCCAAGCUUAACUUGGGAACUGCAUCCGAUACUGGAUGGCUUGAAUCCGGGAGAGGGAUGCAGAAUUCCAGGUGUAGCGGUGAAAUGCGUAGAUAUCUGGAGGAAUACCGGUGGCGAAGGCGGCAUCCUGGACCGGCAUUGACGCUGAGGAGCGAAAGCUAGGGGAGCAAACGGG